AGCGAACGCUGGCGGCAGGCCUAACACAUGCAAGUCGAACGAACUCUUCGGAGUUAGUGGCGGACGGGUGAGUAACACGUGGGAACGUGCCUUUUGGUUCGGAAUAACUCAGGGAAACUUGUGCUAAUACCGAAUGUGCCCUUCGGGGGAAAGAUUUAUCGCCAUUAGAGCGGCCCGCGUCUGAUUAGCUAGUUGGUGAGGUAACGGCUCACCAAGGCGACGAUCAGUAGCUGGUCUGAGAGGAUGACCAGCCACACUGGGACUGAGACACGGCCCAGACCCCUCCGGGGGGCAGCAGGGGGGAAUCUUGCGCAAUGGGCGAAAGCCUGACGCAGCCAGGCCGCGGGAAUUAUGAAGGUUUUAGGAUUGUAAAAUUCUUUCACCGGGGACGAUAAUGACGGUACCCGGAGAAGAAGCCCCGGCUAACUUCGU
RNAcentral lists this ribosomal RNA (432 nucleotides) under uncultured bacterium. Its description in RNAcentral is "partial 16S ribosomal RNA". It matches the Rfam family "Bacterial small subunit ribosomal RNA", at positions 29 to 506 of the family's 1533-position model. The record is from RNAcentral.